ACACAUGGGAUAAAUGGGAUUGCAUCCAAUCUCAUCCAAUAUUGGAAUGUAAGCAGAGUUGUGCAUGGUUAAUACUUGGAUGGGAGAUUGCAUGGGAAUACUGGGUGCUAUAAGUU
This 116-nucleotide ribosomal RNA is filed under the name Castor canadensis (American beaver). The record is from RNAcentral. Lineage: Eukaryota; Metazoa; Chordata; Mammalia; Rodentia; Castoridae.